AAACUAGGAUUAGAUACCCUAUUAUAAUUAUUUAGAUUUGGUAGUAAUUGACAUUCAUCAAACCAAAAUCUAUUGGCGGUUUUUUAAAAUUUUUAGAGGAGUUUAUUCUUUAAAGGAUGAAACACCUAUAUCUUACUUAUUUUUGUAAAUUCAAUUUGUAUACCUCUAUUUAGUAAUUUUUAGAUAAAUUUUUAUUAAUUUAAAUUAAUAUUAUUUAGGUCAAGGUGCAGUUUAUAAAUAAGAAUGAAAUAAGCUAUAUUAAUUAUAAUUUAACGAAAUUUUAAAUGUAAAAUAAGGUUUAGAAGGAUUUAAAAGUAAUUUUGCUAAAAUUUUUGUAAUAUGAAUUGAGUAUUUAAAAAAUGUACAAAUUGCCCGUCACUCUCAUUUAUGAGAUAAGUCGUAACAUAGUAAGGAUGUGCA
Molecule: ribosomal RNA, 420 nt
Filed under: Phytoseius finitimus
Lineage: Eukaryota; Metazoa; Arthropoda; Arachnida; Mesostigmata; Phytoseiidae
Description: partial 12S ribosomal RNA
Source: RNAcentral